This is a long non-coding RNA of Solanum lycopersicum (tomato), 1318 nucleotides long. RefSeq lists it as uncharacterized. NCBI's taxonomy places the organism in Eukaryota, Viridiplantae, Streptophyta, Magnoliopsida, Solanales, Solanaceae. The record is from RefSeq and is a predicted model, not a curated record.
UGCUAUUUCUUUCUCUUGUUGUCUUAGUUUAGAUAUUUGACUUGCGAACAGUAUACUAUUUGUUUUUUGGGUGGUAUUUAUUGGUUGGUACCUGGUUGGGAUUCUGUUAAGCAGUGGUGCUCUUUGAUUCUGCACUUGCUAAGUUAUCAUUUUUACUGGAAUAUGCCAUUAGUGUUUGUGUGUUAAGAUUUAUGUAGUGAUGAUGAUUAACAUAGUCUUAAAAUUGAAAAGUUGAUUGGGAUUUCAUCUAUUGAGUACGCUACAGGUUGUUAUGCGUACUCAUGAACUGCUCUUUGUUUUCAGGGAAAUAGUAUUACUCUAGCUGCUCAAUCUUCAUUCCUGAUUUCUAUUUUUGAGGAUUUUGAAAUGUUUACGAUGUUUUACAAGAAGUCAUGAUAUCAAUAUAGAUGUCCUCAACAUGUAUUAAGUAGUUCUCCAAUCUUCUUGCAAAGAAUACUUUAGCUAAUAUAAAUUUAAAUUCAGGUCGUUGCUUAUUGCCUUCAUAAUCCCAAAUGAACUUCCAUCUGUUUAUUUGAUUCAUGGGAGGCAUAUAUUGAUAUUGGGAGUUCGCUGAUAGCACCUUUCUAUUUUCCAGGGGGUGUUUCAAUAGUACCUCUUCAUACACACAAAUUUGUCUUUGUUUAUGCAUAGCUUCAUUUAGGAAGUUCUUUACCAAUCUUUAUAUGGAUAAGAUAGGUAUAGUAGAUCUCGUGGUUUUUAUGUUUUAGCCACCUAAAGAACAGAUUUUGACUGGCUGCAGCCAUUUUAUCUGCAAUGUGUAAAGAAGUUCUGGUGUAGAAUAUAGACGUGAAAAAUUACUCUUCCCGGUUGCUUUCUGUUCUGCUUUCUUAUAAUUCUCUUCAAAAUAACUAGCUUAAUAUCUUUUAUCCAUGUCGGAACAAAGUUAGCUCUAUAUCUUGUUUAAAUCUCUUAUAUAAAAUUUCACUAAUUUGUUCCAUUGUUGUUGUUAUUGGUACCAUUCUCAGAAUUGACAUUUACUGAUUUAAGAUGGAAGAGAAAUUAUGUAAUUGAAGAAUAACUGUUCUGAUGUAGUAUUAGUUUGUAUGUGAGACAGCCAAGUAUGUACUAUUUCACUGUUUUGCAAUGAUGUACUUUUGAAGCUUGUCAAACGGGCAUAUCUAAUAAAGACAUUCAACAGAAACAGCAGAGAGGGAAUCACAGCUGAUAUUCCUUUGUUAAUGACCCUUAUUCAUACUUGUUUUCUGGAUUUCUAAAAAAUGCAUGGCAUAAAUGACUCCAUAUGAAAUAAUGUUUGCUAGUCCUAAGGCAUUUGCCUGCAAAAUCUAGAAUUAGAAAA